This 1300-nucleotide unclassified non-coding RNA is filed under the name Bombus terrestris (buff-tailed bumblebee). RNAcentral's name for it is "misc RNA ENSBTSG00005021949.1". The record is from RNAcentral. Lineage: Eukaryota; Metazoa; Arthropoda; Insecta; Hymenoptera; Apidae.
ACUGUAGGAUGAACAGCCGUAGCUGGUGCACCUACUAAAUCUUUGGAUGUUAUGGAUCCAUAUAGUCCUGAACCUCUUAAACCCUUUAAGAAAGUAAUAGAAUUAUUUUAAAUUUUUUAAUUUUAUAUGACCUAAAACUUACCUCCAAAGCAAGGCCUUUUUCGGCCGCAAGUCUUUUAGCCAAUGGGCUAAUAUAUAUUCUCUCUCCUGAUGUAGUAGGCAGUGAUUUUGGGACAGAAGGUGCCGCAGGUGCUGGUGGCGUUACAGGAGAUGGUGGGGGAGUAGAUGGUGGAGAAGCAGCUGAUGCAGUAGUUGCUGGAGUAUCGUCUUUAAAAUCUUUGAAGGCAGCUACAGAACUUUCAUCAGGGACAAUUAUACAAACUAAUUUGCCUAUAGCAACAUUUUUUGUUCCUGCAGCUACUAUAAUUUUUGCCAGAUAGCCUUCUUCUGGUGUUUCAAAACCCAUUGUAGCUUUAUCAGUUUCAAUUUCAGCAAGUAGAUCACCUUCAUUCAACUUGUCACCUAAGAUGAUGAUACAACAUUAACAAUUGUUAAUGAGUUUAUUAUACACAUGAAUUAUUUACAUUACCUUCCUUUUUGUGCCAAUUGACAAUUGUGCCUGUUUCCAUAGUAGGUGAUAAUGCAGGAAGCUGCACUUUGACGUGAUCCGGAUAAUCUGCAUAAUACCUUAACUGUUGUUUCCACGGAGUUACCAUAAAACGUAAGGUGUUAUGAAUUUGAAUCCUAAGUAUCAAAUAAAAAUGUGUAAAUUUUUCUAAAAGAAUGUGUAAAAUUUUCCUUGAAAUGUAAAAAUACAAAUCUACACUAUUAAGUAUCCUGAAUGAAUAAGAGACUAAUGCAAAUCAAAUAUAACAAAAUCGUUCUAAAAUAGAGAAAAGCAAAAGAGGAUUAUGAAAUCAUUUGCAUUUAUGGCUUUGAUUAUCCUCAUCAAUAACAGGUGGAAAUAAUGCCAUACUUGAAAACUUUUAAGUAAAAUUGGAAGAUAGAAUGACUUUAAGAUAACCUUAAUCAUAAUCAAUGAAAUAAAUUUUAAUCAGAGGACAACAAAACUUAGAACAAUAAGUUAAGAUGGUAAUAACGGAAAAUGAAAUACCUUUGUACAUAUUUUCUGUGAAGACAUCGUAUGAUCACAGAUCUUACGGUAUUCGUCCGCACAGAACUUCGUAGUAUUGCGUUUGCCAAUUCAUUACGUAGGCCCGUUGUCGUUCGUAUCAUAUCUCGGAUGAUUCGUGGAUCUUUUACUACCGGUUUUAGUAGAAAGUGGCAAGAAAUUCGACGU